RNAcentral lists this unclassified non-coding RNA (2134 nucleotides) under Hevea brasiliensis (rubber tree). The record is from RNAcentral. Lineage: Eukaryota; Viridiplantae; Streptophyta; Magnoliopsida; Malpighiales; Euphorbiaceae.
AUAAAUAAUAUAAUGAAUUAUAUUAAUAAUUAUAUAUUUUAAUAUAGUAACGGCUAAACCUAAAUUUUGUUAAGAGCCGUUUCAUCUUACAAUCAUCACACCCUUCUUUUAGAGCUAGAAAAAAGAUCAGGCACAAUUAUCAUAGUCCCACCCGUCUGCUCGUCGUUUAAACACCAUACGUAACCAAGAAGGAGACUGGCUUCCAAUGCCAGAAACUAUACAGCUAACUUUUCCACUUAGUGUUUCACCGCAUGUUUUCUCUGCAACGCACAUAUCGGGUUCUGUCAUUGUAUCUAGGUCUGUCAUUAGCUCUUUGUGGCUGUGGCUCCACCCUUCUGUGUCUUUCGGGUGGUCUUUGAUCCAUCUCUCCAUUCACAAACAACUCAGCUGCAACAUAAGAAAUAUGUGCAUAAUUAGUCACCAUCAUGAAACCUCUCUAAAUUUUAUAAUAGCUGAAAUGCAGAUAUCACUGUUGAUAAACAACUGUCAGAAUGCAACAAUGUGCAAGUUACCAUUAUUUGCAACUACUAAUGAACACUUUAACUAAGACAUCUAACGGUUGAAGUGUGCUACCCAUAUAAUUUCAUUACCACCAACAUGAUUUCACGCACAUUAUAAAAUACAUCCACCAGGUGAAAUUUUCAAUUAAAAUUAAAGCAUUUACUGUUUAUCAACUUUUCAUUUUCCUUCUAUUACUAAAAUGGAAUCAAAGGCAUUCUUCCUUUUUUUUUUUUUUGGGUUUAGGGUGUUUGUGGGGGGGGAGGGGGGGAGAGAUGGGGAGGGAUGGCUAAUACUUUUUCCAUCUUAAAACUCACAUUAAUAAAACACAGUAUUUCAACACAAGCCUACUAUAAGUUGCUUACACAGUGUAGGAAUAUAAACAGCCUUACAACACAAGAAUGAACUUCACAAAAUAAUUAAAAUUUAUGUAUCAUCUACAAUGAUUCUGCAGCUUCAUUUAGUACAAGGACAGAAGAGGUAAUAAGAUAAGUUUCUGUGAGCCCAUUAGCAUUCAAAGCAAGACAUUACCCACUUGAUAUUAUUAGCUUUGCCAAGAUGGAAUAUAUUUGUUAAAAAAAAAUUCUCUCAUGCUAAAUGCAUCAGCCACAAAGUCCAAAAUACUAAAACAGUUAGUUUUACAUCUCAACCAAAUACAAAACACAAAGUACAAGGAUAAAAGGGGUAAUGUCAAUAAUUUGAUGCCAACCUAUUAACAAUUAAAGGAUGAUAUUGCCCUUCAAGGCCAUCAUCUAUGCCAGAUAAAUUGCAAAUGGAGGCAAAAAAACUUCCCAAAACACAAAUAAAAAAUGAAGUAGGAAAAGAACCACAGAAAGAGGGGUGUCACCACAGAAAGAGGGGUGUCCAUGGCCGUAAUUGGAUCCCCACCAAAACAUGACAUCAUGGGCAGCUCCCAUCAAUGCAUCACAAACAUUACAAAAAGAGGAAUACCACACCCGUUCACCAUGGAUCAAGUUAUAUAGGAAGGCAAUUAGAAAAGUAUAUAGCUUAUUCAACACAGCUAAUUCUGCUCCGGACAAGGAAAUAAUUGCUUCAUUCAUCGCCAUAAUCCUUAUAUUCAGGGUAGCACAAACAGAACACCAGGCACGUCUUCAAGCUUGUCUGCGGUCUCCUCAUCAAUCUCGCAGCCAAAUCCAAAAUACCUCCCACAUGAAACAUUAUAAAUCUUCUUUUUAGCUUCCUCCUCACUGCCAAGAACUUUGGCUAGGGUUUGAAUAUAACAAUCAAUUAUUUGCUGCUUGGUGGCCCCUUCUCCACCAGGCUUGUCCAUAACAAUAAGCCAGUGCUAGUAAUCACACCCCGGAAAAGGCGGGGCCAUCUCAUUGGGCGGGCGGUCACUGAAGUUGGAGGUGGAGUUCAAAGGCGCCGAGUUGCCAGAACGGUUUACCCGGCAUCGAAUCGACGUACAUUGGGCGAGACCAGCAGGUUUGAUUAACAGGACAGCAUGAGAGAGUUGAAGUAAUGAUCGGCGGCAGACAAGCAAAGUUGAAGGAGAAGGAGGAUGAGUGAUGGUAGUUGUGGAGGAGAGAAGGCGUUUGGGGAGAAGGAAGAAGGAAGUGAGGCGGCGAGCGGUUGUACAAGUGAAAGACCGAGCUAGGGCUUGAGCCAUUUCGUG